CCUUGUUUUGAAACGUCAUGUUGCCCUCUCCUUGCCCCUCAGCAAGAAGGCGGGUCGACCCGGCACCCCUUUCUUUAAUUACAGUAUUUUCAGGGCAAUAUGACCAAUUUCUAACAAAUCCCUUGUGAAUACCCCAAUGUUUGAUACAGAGAAUGACGUGAUCAUCACGUAAUGUCCGCAUGGCAACCAACUAAGUGAGAGAAGCAUCCCGUGUGGGCUUUUAGCCGGAACCGGCUCUGAUUACGCACCGGGAUGGAAGAAUUGGAACAUUCGGCUUCUCUAGAGGUUGCUCAUUUCCUAUACAUGGCACAACUUGUAGUCUUAUAUCCACCGAUAUAAACUCGUCCCCAG
This 351-nucleotide small RNA is filed under the name Histoplasma ohiense. RNAcentral describes it as "hypothetical lncRNA". Lineage: Eukaryota; Fungi; Ascomycota; Eurotiomycetes; Onygenales; Ajellomycetaceae. The record is from RNAcentral.